This 686-nucleotide ribosomal RNA is filed under the name Meruliopsis sp. FD-278. Its description in RNAcentral is "eukaryotic LSU rRNA". The stretch from base 266 to 419 matches the Rfam family "5.8S ribosomal RNA". The record is from RNAcentral. Lineage: Eukaryota; Fungi; Basidiomycota; Agaricomycetes; Polyporales; Irpicaceae.
GAGGAAGUAAAAGUCGUAACAAGGUUUCCGUAGGUGAACCUGCGGAAGGAUCAUUAUCGAGUUUUGAAACGGGUUGUCGCUGGCCUUUCACGAGGCAUGUGCACGCCUGGCUCAUCCACUCUUCUACCUCUGUGCACUUUUUGUAGGAAGUCUUUGGUUUUGAAAGCUGGCGUAAGUCAGUCGAUUGCCGGGACUUUCUAUGUUUUUAUUACUACAAACGCUUCAGUUAUAGAAUGUCAUACUUGCGAAUAACGCAUUUAUAUACAACUUUCAGCAACGGAUCUCUUGGCUCUCGCAUCGAUGAAGAACGCAGCGAAAUGCGAUAAGUAAUGUGAAUUGCAGAAUUCAGUGAAUCAUCGAAUCUUUGAACGCACCUUGCGCUCCUUGGUAUUCCGAGGAGCAUGCCUGUUUGAGUAUCAUGGAAUUCUCAACUCCCAAAAUUUUUUGAAACAUAAAAAUUCUGGUGAGCUUGGAAGUGGAGGCUUGUGUCGGCUUUUAAUUAAAUCGACUCCUCUGAAAUGCAUUAGCGUGAAUCUUACGGAUCGCCUUCAGUGUGAUAAUUGUCUACGCUGUGGUUGUUGAAGUAAAUUUAUAUGGUCCAUGCUUAUAAUCGUCUCUCUGAGACAAAUUUUAUGACUUCUGAUCUCAAAUCAGGUAGGACUACCCGCUGAACUUAAGCAUAUCAA